RNAcentral lists this long non-coding RNA (222 nucleotides) under Capsicum annuum. RNAcentral describes it as "long non-coding RNA (CANN_LNC001759)". The record is from RNAcentral. Lineage: Eukaryota; Viridiplantae; Streptophyta; Magnoliopsida; Solanales; Solanaceae.
CCACUAUUGCGACUUUAAAUUUAUAUCCCUCUACUAUGAGAAUCAAGAUCACCGCAAAAGGCCCAACACAAUCAAUCAAAACACCUUAACAUGGCUAUUUAGAUCACCAUAUACCAUCUAACUAGUCUUUCUCCACUUAACAAUUCAAUGGUACCACUAGCCACGCACAACAAGUAAUAGCCUUAGAAAAAAAUACCGUAACCUCAUGUCACCUUAGGCAUA